CAAUACACUCUUAAUCUGAUCCCAGAUAUCCCUGCAGUCACUGCUAACACCGGCCAGCAGCAUGUGCUGGACUUGUGACCACUCUGAUGGAUAGAAUGUGGCAGAAGUAGCUGUGGUUUCUGAGAUUGAGUCUUCAAAAGCCUUGAAGCUCCCUCUUUGGCCCCCUUGGAACCACCCAAUCAUCACGUUGUGACGAAGCCCCAGCCAACCUCCUGCGGGAUGAGAGGCCACAUGGAAGAGAGCCCAGGAGCCCCGCCGAAGCCAUUACCAACGACCACGCACGGACUGCGGACAUCCGGGUUUCUUCAGCUUCAGUCAAGCUAUCCAAUGACGUCAGCCACAUCAGUGAUCCCAGGCCAAGACAAGCAGAACUGCCCGGAUGGCCAACCCACAAGAAACUGCCUCAUCACAGGAGCCCGGGGAAUGCUGUGGAGUGAAUGAAUGAGGGUCUCUAAGCCACUGAAGCUGCUCCCUCUCACCAUCCCUUUGUGAACCUUGCUCAGAAGCAGUGACUGCUCUCUCUGCCAGCCCAGGGAAAGCCCCUUUGCUCACUCUGUCAGCAGAAACACACUGACUGAAGCCACCCACCCUGGCCAAGCACCAUAGUAACCAUUUGUGUGAGUUAUUUUAAGACAGGAGGUCCUGGUAAGGAACAUGGAACUAACAAGCCACCACCAACCGGAAGAGUUUGGGAAAGGUCAAAGGGAGACACCACGCAUCCUACCACCUCCCAGAAUCCUCGCUUGAAGCCAUCUCGGCUGAGCAAUGUGUGUGCCACCAGGAAGAAUCCUGAGUCAGGAUGACUGGCCAAAGACAACCCAGAAAAUAAUCCUACCAUCAUAAAACCCAAGACUGUGAG
Molecule: long non-coding RNA, 859 nt
Organism: Bos taurus (domestic cattle)
Lineage: Eukaryota; Metazoa; Chordata; Mammalia; Artiodactyla; Bovidae
Source: Ensembl